This is a long non-coding RNA of Mesocricetus auratus (golden hamster), 509 nucleotides long. RefSeq lists it as uncharacterized. Lineage: Eukaryota; Metazoa; Chordata; Mammalia; Rodentia; Cricetidae. The transcript has 3 exons. The record is from RefSeq and is a predicted model, not a curated record.
GCUCACAAGAUUGACAUGUCUUUGCCCGGGGCAUCUUUUCCACGCAGAGCGCUGAAAACACCCUGUUUGUUGGGAGAGAGUGUUUGGCCUCUGUGGGAAGUUUCAUUCUGCUGUUGAUCCACUGCCUGGCCCACCUCACUACUGGGGACUUCAACCAAGACUCCAACCCCAGAUUUCUGGGGUCAUUUUAUGAGGGGCUGAAAGCCUACUUCAAGGAGGCUUUCUCUACUACAUUGCAGAUGUCAGCAGUUUCCUGGGACAGUAAGUCUGACCAAAGCCUAAGUGCUGUUCUGCUGAAAGAGCAGCCCACCUCUGAAAAGGAAAGAGAUCUCCUUUCUAAACUCAUUGAGAGGAAGUGUGAGCCUUGCUUAUCAAGACAGUCAUCAGAAGAGUACAUUAAGAAAAGCAAAGAUCUCCUCCUUUUCACUAAUAUGGAACAUUUCCUAAAAAGCAUCCUUUCUGAAGAGCAACAAAUCUUAACAACACCGAGAGCCGGACUCCGUGGCAAA